CUCUGCUCCACCACCGCCGCUCCACAUCGCGGCUUUUCUCCCUCCCCUCCGUCUCUCUCUCCGCCAGGCAUCCCAGACGCGGAGGCGGAGAUACCUUGCUCCCCGCACGAGAUUGUGGUCUCAACCUCCUGACGGCGACGGCGAGCCUCUCGGAGGCCACCUCCGAUCUAAGAGAAUCAUUAGCAGAACUAUUGAACCCUGAGUUUUCAUUUAUUUCGUCUUGGUUAUUGUGAGAAUGCGGAGGUUCAAUCCCUUUGGGGGGAAAGUACAGACUGGACUGGAAGGCCGCACCAUUGAUGUAAGGAAUGUGAAGAUCACAGUACGCAAUGCCAUUGCACAAGGAGGUUUCUCUUGUGUGUAUCUCGCAUGUGACGCGUUGCACUCGUCAAAGCAGUAUGCAUUGAAGCAUAUCAUUUGCAAUGACUCGGAAUCGCUUGAUCUUGUCACGAAGGAGAUCCAGGUGAUGAAUCUCCUCAAAGGGCAUGCCAAUGUCGUCACACUGGUUGCCCAUGAUGUUUUUGACAUGGGCCGCACAAAGGACGCAUUGCUUGUGAUGGAGUUUUGUGAGAAGUCCUUGGUGAGUGUGAUUGAGAGCAGAGGUACUGGUUACUAUGAGGAGAAGAAGGCGCUUUUGAUAUUCAGAGACGUCUGCAAUGCAGUUUUUGCUAUGCAUGGGCAGUCACCACCAAUUGCACAUAGGGAUCUUAAAGCCGAAAAUGUUCUUCUUGGAUUAGAUGGUGCAUGGAAACUAUGUGACUUUGGAAGCACGUCAACAAAUCAUAAAUGCUUUGACAAGCCAGAAGAUAGGGGGAUUGAGGAAGAUAUCAUUAGGAAGCAUACGACCCCGGCGUAUAGAGCACCUGAGAUGUGGGAUCUCUACAGAAGAGAAGUUAUUAGUGAAAAAGUUGAUAUUUGGGCCCUGGGAUGUCUUCUCUAUAGAAUAUGCUACUUCAAAUCCGCAUUUGAUGGAGAGUCGAAGUUGCAGGUCCUUAAUGGCAAUUAUCGCAUUCCAGAACAACCCAAGUACAGCACCAGUGUCACAGGGCUGAUCAAAGAUAUGCUGGAAGCAUCUCCAAAUGCCAGACCAGAUAUCACACAGGUCUGGUUUCGUGUUAACGAACUACUGCCUCUUGAGUUACAGAAGAGUUUACCUGAUGGGGCUUCAGCAGCAAUUUCUAUGGGCUUGCAGGACGAUGGUGCUUAUAAAAGAACACAUGUGACGCCUAAAAGGAACCCUCCUGCACCUCCAAGAGAACAAUCUGAUAACUCAUCAUCUCAUGGAAGUGCAAACGCCGGAGAUGCACCUCUGGGUGCAUUUUGGGUGACCCAACAUGCACAGGGUUCUCAAGUUGUUGAUAAUAGGAAUCCCUUGUUUGACGAGGAGCCAAUUAAACCAUCACCUUCAUCAAAGUAUAACCAAAGUAGGGUGGAUAUCAGCACCACUACCCCUGGAGAUAGGCAUGGUCAUUCUGGUCAGGUUUUGCGAAAUACAGCAAGUAACACUGUAUCCAGUAAUGGACUUAAGGGUGGUUCGGACAUAAAUCUUUUCAUGGAACCACAAGGUUAUGUGAAAAAUAAAGCAUCACAGCCACAAAGCAAGACUAUAUCUGCGAAAGAUCCCUUCAACAGUUUUGUCGCAGAUUUUGAUGCAAACAAUCUGCACUCAGGGACUACUGCUACUGGUAGGAUAUCCGAGCUUGAAGCUGAAGUGUCCAAUCUGAAGGAGCAGUUGAAGAAAACCACGUCGGAGAAGGCUGAGAUGACAGCCAAGUAUGAAAAGCUGUCGGCAAUCUGCCGCUCCCAGCGCCAAGAAAUUCAAGAGCUGAAGCGCACCGUUGCUGAGACUACACCACCGCCUUCAAGUAAAGUCAGCUCAAGGAUACCAGAACUUGGAUCCCAGCGGAAGGAGAGGAUUGAAGGAACGGUGUGGGAACUAGAGCAAGGAAUGCUCUCAGGCAACUCCUCGGUACCCAGCUCUGAGGCAAAGACAUGGCAGGCAUUCCCUGAGGCAAAAGCUCAGGCCAGGCCAAAGGUCGACCAUGCAACCAAUGGGAGGCAAAACCUAACACGGAACACGAAUGCGGGGCCUUCCCCUGAUGCGUGGGGUUUCGGCACAUCAUCGGGUAGCACUGCUGCAGCAACACAGAUGAACAGAACAAAUGCCAAGGUGAGUUCCUCCCAGAGAUUGAGCACGGGGGCAGCAAAGAAAGUAGAUCAGCCAUCAGGAUGGGCCGGAUUCUAGCUUCUCAUCAGCACGCGGUAAUCUCGGUUCUCUUGUUUCUAAUCACAGGCUACUCUGCAAGUUGCAAAAGGAUGAGAUUUGUUGUGAUUGUUGCCUGCCAAAAUUCGUUAUUUUAAGGGUGUUGAUAGUUGCUUGAGCCGACCUGGACGCCGGUUUUUCUGCGGUCGUUUGUCAAGUGCCUUGUUAAUAAAUUUUUAUGUUUACAUAUGUAUAUCUACUUGUACCUUGUACCAUGUGGAACUGUGGAAAUGUCCCUUUUAACUUGUGCUGUAAAAAGGACCGUAUGCUGAUUUACUCUUUCCUGAGCUUACUCUCAAAGUGCUGCG
RNAcentral lists this ribosomal RNA (2568 nucleotides) under Triticum aestivum (bread wheat). RNAcentral describes it as "partial small subunit ribosomal RNA". Lineage: Eukaryota; Viridiplantae; Streptophyta; Magnoliopsida; Poales; Poaceae. The record is from RNAcentral.